RNAcentral lists this ribosomal RNA (1484 nucleotides) under Lacticaseibacillus casei. RNAcentral describes it as "bacterial SSU rRNA". It matches the Rfam family "Bacterial small subunit ribosomal RNA". Lineage: Bacteria; Bacillati; Bacillota; Bacilli; Lactobacillales; Lactobacillaceae. The record is from RNAcentral.
GAUGAACGCUGGCGGCGUGCCUAAUACAUGCAAGUCGAACGAGUUCUCGUUGAUGAUCGGUGCUUGCACCGAGAUUCAACAUGGAACGAGUGGCGGACGGGUGAGUAACACGUGGGUAACCUGCCCUUAAGUGGGGGAUAACAUUUGGAAACAGAUGCUAAUACCGCAUAGAUCCAAGAACCGCAUGGUUCUUGGCUGAAAGAUGGCGUAAGCUAUCGCUUUUGGAUGGACCCGCGGCGUAUUAGCUAGUUGGUGAGGUAAUGGCUCACCAAGGCGAUGAUACGUAGCCGAACUGAGAGGUUGAUCGGCCACAUUGGGACUGAGACACGGCCCAAACUCCUACGGGAGGCAGCAGUAGGGAAUCUUCCACAAUGGACGCAAGUCUGAUGGAGCAACGCCGCGUGAGUGAAGAAGGCUUUCGGGUCGUAAAACUCUGUUGUUGGAGAAGAAUGGUCGGCAGAGUAACUGUUGUCGGCGUGACGGUAUCCAACCAGAAAGCCACGGCUAACUACGUGCCAGCAGCCGCGGUAAUACGUAGGUGGCAAGCGUUAUCCGGAUUUAUUGGGCGUAAAGCGAGCGCAGGCGGUUUUUUAAGUCUGAUGUGAAAGCCCUCGGCUUAACCGAGGAAGCGCAUCGGAAACUGGGAAACUUGAGUGCAGAAGAGGACAGUGGAACUCCAUGUGUAGCGGUGAAAUGCGUAGAUAUAUGGAAGAACACCAGUGGCGAAGGCGGCUGUCUGGUCUGUAACUGACGCUGAGGCUCGAAAGCAUGGGUAGCGAACAGGAUUAGAUACCCUGGUAGUCCAUGCCGUAAACGAUGAAUGCUAGGUGUUGGAGGGUUUCCGCCCUUCAGUGCCGCAGCUAACGCAUUAAGCAUUCCGCCUGGGGAGUACGACCGCAAGGUUGAAACUCAAAGGAAUUGACGGGGGCCCGCACAAGCGGUGGAGCAUGUGGUUUAAUUCGAAGCAACGCGAAGAACCUUACCAGGUCUUGACAUCUUUUGAUCACCUGAGAGAUCAGGUUUCCCCUUCGGGGGCAAAAUGACAGGUGGUGCAUGGUUGUCGUCAGCUCGUGUCGUGAGAUGUUGGGUUAAGUCCCGCAACGAGCGCAACCCUUAUGACUAGUUGCCAGCAUUUAGUUGGGCACUCUAGUAAGACUGCCGGUGACAAACCGGAGGAAGGUGGGGAUGACGUCAAAUCAUCAUGCCCCUUAUGACCUGGGCUACACACGUGCUACAAUGGAUGGUACAACGAGUUGCGAGACCGCGAGGUCAAGCUAAUCUCUUAAAGCCAUUCUCAGUUCGGACUGUAGGCUGCAACUCGCCUACACGAAGUCGGAAUCGCUAGUAAUCGCGGAUCAGCACGCCGCGGUGAAUACGUUCCCGGGCCUUGUACACACCGCCCGUCACACCAUGAGAGUUUGUAACACCCGAAGCCGGUGGCGUAACCCUUUUAGGGAGCGAGCCGUCUAAGGUGGGACAAAUGA